Molecule: long non-coding RNA, 7973 nt
Organism: Siniperca chuatsi (mandarin fish)
Lineage: Eukaryota; Metazoa; Chordata; Actinopteri; Centrarchiformes; Sinipercidae
Exons: 2
Source: RefSeq, a predicted model, not a curated record
UCUUGCUUUGAUGUGUCAAGACCAGCUGUCAAAAUACAAAGCCCAUCUGCAUAUAAACUGGAACCACCCUUUUUCAUAAUGAUAAUUUAGAGACUGAUAUAAUUCAUGUGAAAAAAAAUAUUUUUUUAGGUUUGCACAUUAUUUAUGUAGUAAUUAUGUAGCUUCUAUACACACUGUUAAGAGUUCCUAAUUUCCCGCUUUACUCCUUAAUGAACAUUAGUAAUACUAUAAUACAUUUUAAAAGGAUUCUGUACACAGGAUACUAAUGAAAAUAUCAGUUCAUAUCAGAAUAUUGCCGUGAGAUUAAAGAUGAAAAAAUAAAAGAUUAAAAAGACUAUCUCAGACACAUCAUACCUCUAUAGUGAUGGUUAGAAAGUACUAAUCAUUUCCCCUCAUCAUUAAGCAGCAUGUGAAUUUACUAACUGUUAUACUGAAAUGUUAACAUUGCACGGCCCGGACUGCCUUUUGUCUCUGCCGUUAAUUCAGAGCAGCUCCAAAGCCCCUUCAGUUAAUCGCAUUUGUCUGAAUAGGGAGUCUACAAGUCCUCAACUUCACGGUUAUUUCUGGAGGAUUUGUCACCUCCCCUAAGUCCUGCAGCACGAUUUAAAUUCUCUAUCAGUCAUGCAACCUGAAAUAUUUGACUAUAUGCCCCUUUUAAAUAGAAAUAGGCCUUUAGAACGCGAUGAAAAUCCUAUAAAAAAACUCUCAUUCUAUUCCUAUGCGAAUUUACAGCGAGUUUAUAAUGAUGUUUUUAAGUGUGGCAAUAUUCUUAUUUGAAAAACCUACAGUUUGUAUGCCAGCUAUAGCCUACUAAUGUACAAUUUUACGUGUUUAUUUCCAUAUAAUUAUUAUAUAUUCUACAUACCAUCCGAGUAUCCUCAGUAAACAUUUACAAGACACACAACUCAGUAUUAAUCCAUAGGAUUGGGCUGCUAAAAGCGUGGCAGCCCACUUCGACUGUAUUCCCUUGGUAUUUAUUGCAUCUGAAAAAAGCAGGUGCACUGUGAAUAAGGCAACCUCCAGCAUGAUCGGAAAUAAUACAUAUUAAAAUAGCCACAAGAUCAUUUAAUUUAAAAGCAUUAAUGGUGGACAGUUGAAUUUUGUAAUACUGUAAUUCUUAUUCUUUUUAUUUUUAUUCCGACCAAACUCGUCCUGUUCGGACUAUUUGUGGGUCAAGCCAGAAGAUGGUAAAAAAAGUCCCACACUGCAUUCAGUUUCCCAUAUUGCAAUUAAAUUUGUUUUCUGAUUCUAAAUUAUCUAAAUCCAAAAAAUACAGACCUCUGGGGCAUUUCUUUUUUUUUUUUUUUUGCAGGAUGAAUGAGCUAUGGCUUUGAGUAUUAAUCACAGUAACAUAUCCUUAUUUUUGGAACCAACAUGGCCACUUUUUAUGAAAUUUCAUCGUGAAGCUUUCCUCUUUUUGAUGCGUAGCUCUCCCUGACUAAAAGCCAUAACCCCUAUAUAAUUAGUCUAACUUGAGCAAAACAGUCAAAUAUAAAAUGUAGGCUAGUUCAUACCUUCCUCCGAGUCCAUCGUUGUGCGCCAUACCUGAAGCUACAAACUGCACUGAAGUCGCACCCAUCAGACAUUUUAGUCCUUAACCUAUUAUUAUCAUUUAAAGAGUUCCACUAAUAAAGUAGUGUUGAGGCAACACAAGCCUCCGGUCCGCGUUGCCCGCAGCAGGACUGCAGAAUUACAAUGAAACAAAAGAAAUCCAAGCGGCGUUCUGAACUUCCUGAGUAUCAAAUGUCAAUUUCAGCCCUGCGCUCCUCUCCUCUCCCCUCUCUCCCACCGGCUCCCUCUCUCUCCGAGCUUAACCUCCUCCCUUUUACCUGCGCUUCCAAACUGCACACUGGCAGAAAGGAAGGUGCUCCGUGCACCUUUUUAAAGGCGCAGACAAUCAAAGGGGCGACAGCAGGUUACACUGUAUGGGAAUAAAACAACAGCUCCGACAAAUGUGCAACUGGUUUAAUAUUCUGCGCCUAAAACCUUUAACACACAGCCGCUGCGUUUCAUAUUUUUACGUUAAAGUUUACACAUGUGUGUUAUCUAAAUUAGGCCGCCAGCGAGAACCUGUCCUCCUGUUUUUAUGCAGUACCCCCACCUUUUAAAUGUUCUGUUCUCAGUAAAACACUAUAUGCUACACUUUAAAACUGCAUCGCGUCUGAGGGUACAAACUGUACCGGUGUGUACCUGUUUUCAUAACAGUGGACGUAUUUCUACAAGCGGGACUCAAACAGCUUCCUUCCAGUCUGCCUCCAUCUGGUUUAGGCUGCGAGUCCAGGGAUUUGCCCGGUAGAAAAGACACAUUUUCAAGCAUCUCACCCCGCACCGCAGAAGUAAUCCAAGCUGCUUGUGUCGCUCCUGUUCUGCUCCGUUCCGAGAUCUCAGGAGGCAAGGAGACCUUAAAAGUGGGUCUGUUUUACCCCGGGAACUGCUGCAGUCUGAGCGGAUGAGGAUUGGUUUUGUCUCUUCGGAUUAAACGAUUUCCUGAGAAUAAUUUGGACCAACCCCCUGUUAAGACUGCCCCAACCCAAGAAAAGACACAUCUCUCCGGCCUUUUAUUGGAACACAGACACGUGUCAAUCACCUGACUGACAUUCCUGGCUGAGUCUGAUCUGGACACGCUGGAGCUUGUGGCGCGGCACAGGAUGUACAGUACAGAGAAAGAGGUGUGUAUACAGGAAGAGUAGAGUACCUUAUUAUAUACUGUAAGGCAAUAAAUUCAGUGUCUUACUACAGCCUCAAAAAACGACACAAUGUCACGAAAGAUUAAAGUCUCACAACAUUUGCAUUUAUUCCAGGGCUGUUGUAGUAACUGCAUUACAUUUCAGGGUGUUCUUGGUAUUUUGUCUACCCUUGUUUGUGUAUAUACAAAAGACAGAAAGAAAAAGGUAACGUGGACCAGGCAGACUGAACUUCAUUUCCUCAGGUUAUCACAAUAUACAACCAAACAAAAAGCAGCAACAAAAAAAAGCACAGUGAUCAUUAAUCCAAACAUCUAAGAAAUAUCAACCUGGAGAGUCAUUUCAUGUCUCAGCACCGCUACAGAAAUAAAGACAGACAGGAAGAGAGAGCAGAUUGCUGCGUGACAGAAUACAUUUGUCAGAGGACAGGAGAGGGGAUUAAACAGCCUUAUGUCACAGCAUUUAUUUUCCCCCUGCUGUGAUUAUACAGAGGGGGUUUCAACUGAGGAUAGAGGAGGAUGCAUGAGGCAGCGCCCUCGUCUGGCUCACUUGUGAAACAACAUCCAUCAUAGCAUGUAGAGGCUGCCCUCACAGCAAGGUUAAUCUCACACAGUCCAAUGUCCCCUUCAAAAUAAAACCCAGUCAGAAGUUGAGAUGCUUAGCAGAUUUGGCACAGAUCACUGCAGUAUACAAGACUUAUGCAAUGCUAUAUAAACCCAACCAGACACCGGUCACUCAAUGUAACAGUACUACAAUAAUAGAAUCACUACCAAACACACCAUUUUAGUGUUUGCUUUGAAGGGAAACUUAUUGGCCAGUGCUGUGUGCUUGGAUGGCUGUAGUCAUUCAUCACCCCCAUUUCAGACUGGAAGAACUGGGGUUCCAACCUCUCAAGUUUCACAGCACUCGCAGGGAUCAUGUCAGACAGUGGCCCAUAUUGUACAAGCUGACCAAGACCUGGAGGUGGGCAGUCCUGACACAGGAAUGUAGUGCCACACUGACACCUUGUGGAAGUGCUGCUAUUACAGGCUAGUUUUCUGUAGAACACAACAUUUUAUAUGGAUUCAAAGAGUAGAAACUGACCAUGAGAGGUUUUCUAAAUCUGUUUGGAUGCCAAAUUGGUGCAUUCCUGCUCAAAAGUUUUUUACAAAAAUUACCCAGGUAAAAUGCUCAUAGGAUAUAGCAAUUAUUCACUGGAAAUUUUGAUUUUGUCCUUUGUAGGAGACUGUAGUUUUGGCUCAUAUUAAGGCCAUAUGUUAUUGUGUUGAGUCUCCCAAGUGAGGACACCUUGGCUUUUCAGUGUGUUACAUAUGUGGCAUUUGAACCUGGACAAGUGUCUUUUUUCUGGAUUCAAGAUUCAAGUUUUAUUUGUCACAUGCAAUAGAAAAUGAAAUAUAAAAAUGUAAAAUGUACAUUAUGGCACAGUUGUAAAGAAAACUAUACAAUAUUAAAAUAUUGCUAAAAACCCCCAAAUGUAAUUAUCAGUUUUCACAUGAAUUUGGUGAUUGAUUCUCUAAGUGAACAUAAUAUGUGAGUUUGAGAGAAGUGUAAUCAUUUUGUUCACCUUGAACAUGUUCAGAGGACGUCAGGAUAUUUCAGCCAUCUAACAGUUGCAAUUCAGCUCACUGAGAGAAAGUUCUCCACAGAAUCAUAAAGGGAGAUUUAGACGUACACUUAUCACAUGAUAAGGAUCCACAGGUUCCAACUUGUAUGAAACAAAAAAGAGGACAAAGUUUAGAUGUUGGCAUUAAAAUCUUAAAAUGAGAUCUGUAAAUCUACAUUAUUUGUGUUUAGACAUCAUAUAUAAAUAUGCAACAUAUGCUGUUGUUCAUGCAUUCUGCAGUAAAAUCCUGAGGUCUUUCAGAAAACAGUUCAAUAACAGAUCAUACACUGGGUGCAACAGAUGAGAAUCAUAAGCCUCAGACAAAGACCUUUUAUACACAUUGAAUGUUUUAUUAAAAAAGAAGUUAUAACAGUUUAUUUUAUACACAACUAUUUAUGAGGUUAUAAGCCUAUUAAUAGAGAGCAUUUUGUCUUUUUGACAAGCAUGCCCACUUCACAAUGCAAAGAAAAAACAGGAAAAGGAGGGCAAAGAGGGUGAUAAAAAUAAGACCAAGGAUGGACUUUUCAAAACAAAAAAUAAACCUUUUGACUUUGUAACCCUUAAGUAUCACACACUAGGUGACAAAUACAUAGUUUCUAUUAAAAAAACAAAACAAACUGCCAUUUUCCAUGCUGUGUGUGCCUGUUAAAUCCCCUGAUGACAGCAGUAGGCCAGUAUAGGGCACAAAUCCACACAAGCACAAGACAGAAUGGGAGGUGUGCACCAAGCGAGCCUCGACUGCACACCAGAAGCAUGCAAGUGCACAAAGAGACACAGUCAACACACAAGGGGAAGUGAUAUUACAGGAUCAGGGUGCUGGCUCUUUGCGGCUGUGCUGAUAAAAUAGGAGAAUGGACCCUGGAUGCCCUGUCUAUGGAUUAAUGAUAGACCAGUCCAUUCACUCAGCUGAGACCCUUCGUUCUUAAAGUAUCCGGCAGGGUGUGGGGGAGUGUGCGUACGAUUGUGGGGCUAUGAGUCUGAACUGGACUUUCUCUGCAGGUUUGCAAUUAGAAUUUUGAGGCCGAUCAAUCCCAUCAUGUUAAUGUGGUUGUCUGGACUGUUUAAAACUGUGGUUGUUAAGAUAUUGUUUUAUGUGGUCUUCGAACAGAAAUGGGGGAGGGGAGAAAGCCAAAAGGAAAUUAAAUAAAAGCACAAUAAACAUGUUUUCAAAAAUAAUUUAGAAUUUAAGAUGCCAUGGGAAGCAUAAUCAUUCACUGGUUUGUGGACAUUUUUUUAAGUUCUUGACUCGAAAUGAAGACAACCUGAAACACAAAGGCCGUAAUUAUGUCUCUUGACAUCGAAAAAGUAAGCGUGGGAAGUAAAAAACAGAUGGGAACCAGGGAAGCCACUGAAAAGAUCAGAUGGUUGUCAUGUUUACCAGAUCAACACCAGGCCACAGCUGAGUAUAUCAUCAAUUUAUUGCCCAGCAGAUGCAAAAUAUGCUGAAAACCAAAUCUAUGAUUUUAACAAGAGUCUUGUUUUUGAAAAAGACAAAAAUAUCAUUAGUUCCCUGUUGCACCACUGCAUCAUAAUGUGCUAUUUUAUUACAAUUGUCAACUCGGACAAACUGUAUUUUCAGCACUCAAGUACAAUACUGCACAAAUGUAAAGUAAAACAAGAAUUCUAAUCUUAAUUGCUUAAAACAAAAAACUUAAGAUCAAGUUGUCAUCAGUGUGAUAAUUUAGCUGAACCAUAACUUACAAUAGUGGUGCCUGAUAACCAAGAUUAAAAACAAAAAAAAAUGAGGUCUCUUUAAUGAAUAAAUACAUUUAUAGGCAGCUUAGGGAGAAAACACAAGCCAAUUGUGAGAGUGGGGAUUUGCAUACAAUUUGCAGGUUUGUUCUGUUGGAGUGGAUGUGGAUCACAAAUUUCACCACAAACACUCUGAACACAUGUAAAACAUUCACAUAGCUUUAUACUACCUUGAACAUGUUGAAUAUCACAAAUGUUAGCUCUGCAGCAGUUAAAAUGGCUGCAUCUUGCUGGCAGCUAACCCCCGAGGUAACAUUCAAAACUUCCCCGGGCUGGAUGAGAGAAAUUAUCAUCCCAUAGCUUUAAACAGCCAAACUCUUUCAGAAAUUAAAAACAAAUUACGUGUCUCUGUUCUAAAUCUGCAUUCAAAUGUGGGUAUAAUUAUGAGCAUGGAAUUGUGUUUUAAAUCAUGUUUUUGGAGAAAUCCAAUCUCUUGAAAAGGGCUGAACCACACUUUUGAUUUCUGUACAGUUAGAACCAUCAGGCUCACUACAGGUCAAACAUCACCCUAGUUUGAAAUCACUCACACUCAUCUGUACAACUCUGAAUCUGCAAGAAGAGGACAAGCAGGCAUGUCUAUGGAGUAUCUUACAUAUAACCACACAACAGACACUAACUAAAAAUCAGAUGAGCAAUGAAUGCUUUUUCAGGUAAGUAUACCAAACUAGCUAACUAUCUGUAAUACAGCCAUAUAGCAUAUGUUGUUCAGUUGAAGUCAACACCCCGCAAAACUAACUAUCCUGACAUGUCAAAAACACAGUUCAACAAAUAUUAGCAUGAUUUCCAUCCUUUCAGUACGUCCCGGGUGAAAAUGUUAAUCACUAUGCAAGAUACAACCAAACUGUAUUUCAAACCUGAGCCAUGAAAGUCUAACAAUCCUACAUUAGCUCAAAUAAACCCAGUGCCACUCAGCCCUUGGUUACUCCCCUAAUCUGCAACAGAUUGAACAUUUAGAUGUCAAAUCACAAAUUACACAGGAUCAAAUUGCAGGAAGAGGAGAAUAAAAGCAGGAUGAGUAAAAACAAUGUGCUUUUCUUGUUACUUUUGACCUUCAUGGCUUUUUGGAAACAUGGUUUUUGGGGACUUCUUCAAUGGUCACUUGCCUUUUGUGAUGAGGCACAGAAGAGGGAGUUGAGAUCAGAGGUGAUAAGGUGACCUCCCGAGUACGAUUCAGCCUUGAAUCUCCCACUCAGGAUCCACAAUCUGCCACAAAGCAACCAGUGAUUCUUACUGCAAUCUAUGAAUACAUUUCAAGGUUUUCUAGGUAGUUUGACUGCCAUGUUAGCCUCGACAAGCAACACUCAAUCAGUGUUCUGGGUUUAACACUGAGUUUUCAUGAGGCUACAGAGAGGUGUCUUAUCACUGUACAAGGUAGAUGCUGUACAUAUAUAAAAAAAAAAAAAGAUCCAAAAGCGUAGACCCCCCCAUCGAGCAAGAAAUGUACAAGAAAUAAAAGAAGAAAAAACAUCCAAAAAUCAAAGCUGCGAUUGCAUUCUCUUUCCACGCAUCAUGGAUUUACAUCUUAACCUGCCAAAAUCAACAAUGAUUAACACCAGAGGUUGUUUUUUUUGUAUAGAUAAGAAGUCAAAUCUGUACAUAUGAAAUUAAUGUUAAAUUAAUUCCCCUCAACGAAAAUUGCCAGAAGCCUAAUUGUCAUGUACUGGGCUCUUAUUUUGUAACCUUCUUCAAACUCAUGAUCCAAAUAGAGAUCCUGGUAGGCAGUAAUAAAGUCCAGGAGUCCAGAUGAUGCAGUCGGGGUUCAUACCACAGGUCAGAACAAUAUGAAGGGCAUGCAUUGGAGCAAACACCAGGUAACAGUGGAAUGUGAGGAGGACCUAUACCACACAAACCUGAAUCUUCAAUAAAUCACUCUUUUUCUCAGAUUCACUCAAUAAUCAUAUGACCUUUUUUUUUUUUUUUUUUUUUUUUUUUUU